This 29-nucleotide small RNA is filed under the name Bombyx mori (domestic silkworm). Its description in RNAcentral is "ovarian small RNA-31496". Lineage: Eukaryota; Metazoa; Arthropoda; Insecta; Lepidoptera; Bombycidae. The record is from RNAcentral.
UGACCAAAGUAGAAUUUCGAUCACAAGGC